GGGAGGAGGAAGGAAAGGCCGAAGAAGCAGGCGCCCGUCUGCCCGCUUGAAGGAGCGCUUCCGCGCUUUCCCUCUCGGGCUCUGCUCCCGGGAGGGCCCGCCGCGCUUUGCUUUCUCCCUGCUGGGCCGCCAGGGGGAGCCGCGCCGGCGGGCUCUGGGACCGCGGAGGGAGGCGGGGCCCCGGGGCGGGAGCGGCGGCGCGGCGCCCACAAGCUGGCGCCCCCUGAGGGCAGGGCUGCCCUCUCCGUCCCCCCCGGCUCCGCGGACUCCGGGCCCGGGAAGUGGGAGGCGCUCUGGCAGACCCGCUCCGGCCUGGCUGCGCCCGCAGCCCGGGAUCCGGUUAGAGACGGAGAGGCGGCCCCGCUUAGGGUUCCCAAGCAGCCCCAGGGCCACGAUUCCCGCCGCUGAGGUCCUUGCGACGGGAAACCAAAGUCCAAAAAGUCGCUUUCGGGUUUGCCCCGCGGCUUCGCGGGUACAUCUCCCGCCCUCCUCGUCUCCCGCCCACCACACGAGGUUUGCCUCCUUCCCACGCCCCUGGCCUUCACUUUCCUCCAAUAAGCGUCGGGCCCAAAGCCCCUCAGACCGACGUGAAGCGGCUAUCGACCAGACAGGGGAGAGACUCGCGCUGCAGAAAGUGGCCGCGGUGGGGCGCGAUUGCAUAAGGAAAGGAAGCCCGCACGACGGCCCCAUUUCUACUCGCAACCACUUGUUAAAUAACAGAAAGCGGCCAUAAAAUACCGCCGAGGAGCACGAGUCCUCAUUUAUCCUUCCUAGUCCGUGUGGGCCCUUCCGGUGGAUGGAGCCCCGGAUAAAUGAGGUGUUCUUACGCCUGGGCGCUGUGUGCCCCGCAAAGGGCUUUCAUCAUCUCCUUUCAAGGGCUGCGGACCUACAAUUGCAAUGCGGCUUUUCCUUCUAGCAUGAAUACGGACAAAAGCCCUUAUUCUAAAUAGGGGUCUGCAGGCUCCGACCGACUGCCAGAGGGGUUCGUGAUCAACAGAAAAGUUUAAGAACCCCCAGGUCUAAACGUAUUUGAACUUGGAGAAAGUAAAUGUCCACUUCCAUUUCUUUUUCUCCUCUCUUCUUCCGUUCUUCA
This 1093-nucleotide long non-coding RNA is filed under the name Sarcophilus harrisii (Tasmanian devil). RNAcentral's name for it is "lncRNA (ENSSHAG00000026479.1)". The record is from RNAcentral. Lineage: Eukaryota; Metazoa; Chordata; Mammalia; Dasyuromorphia; Dasyuridae.